CAGCAGUGUUGUGGACCCAGAUCCAGAUUGGAAGAAGAUCCAAAGGUUCUUUUCCAAUGUGUGGAGAAUGAUCUCCAGUCCUUUAAAAAAGAUCCAGAAUUUCUUAUCCAGAGGGUUCAGGAACAUUUUUUGCAGAAACCUCACUAUGCCUACUGAUAAUGUCAGGAUUUUGUACAAGGAUGACUCAAACUCUGAUGGAUCUUCAGGCCAUGGUCCCUCCAAUGAUGUGAUACCAGUUUCCU
Molecule: long non-coding RNA, 242 nt
Organism: Thalassophryne amazonica
Lineage: Eukaryota; Metazoa; Chordata; Actinopteri; Batrachoidiformes; Batrachoididae
Exons: 3
Source: RefSeq, a predicted model, not a curated record